GACGAACGCUGGCGGCGUGCCUAAUACAUGCAAGUCGAACGAGAGCGACCGGUGCUUGCACUGGUCAAUCUAGUGGCGAACGGGUGAGUAACACGUGGGUAACCUGCCCAUCAGAGGGGGAUAACAUCCGGAAACGGAUGCUAAAACCGCAUAGGUCUUCGAGCCGCAUGGCUUGAAGAGGAAAAGAGGCGCGAGCUUCUGCUGAUGGAUGGACCCGCGGUGCAUUAGCUAGUUGGUGAGGUAACGGCUCACCAAGGCCGUGAUGCAUAGCCGACCUGAGAGGGUGAUCGGCCACAUUGGGACUGAGACACGGCCCAAACUCCUACGGGAGGCAGCAGUAGGGAAUCUUCCGCAAUGGACGCAAGUCUGACGGAGCAACGCCGCGUGAGUGAAGAAGGUUUUCGGAUCGUAAAACUCUGUUGUUAGAGAAGAACAAGUGCUAGAGUAACUGUUAGCGCCUUGACGGUAUCUAACCAGAAAGCCACGGCUAACUACGUG
This 498-nucleotide ribosomal RNA is filed under the name uncultured bacterium. RNAcentral's name for it is "partial 16S ribosomal RNA". It matches the Rfam family "Bacterial small subunit ribosomal RNA", at positions 28 to 507 of the family's 1533-position model. The record is from RNAcentral.